UCAAACUUGGUCAUUUAGAGGAAGUAAAAGUCGUAACAAGGUUUCCGUAGGUGAACCUGCGGAAGGAUCAUUACAGAAUAAACUUGAUAAGUUGUAGCUGGCUCAAUCUCAGAGUAUUGUGCACACUUGUCAUUUUUAUCUUUCCAUAUGUGCACCCAUGCAUAGGUCUGAAAAUCAAAGUCUACUUUGAUGUCUUGGGGAACUGCUGUUUUAUAAUAUCAGCUUUUCCUGUUUUCAGAUUCCUAUGAUUUUUUUUAUAUACACCAUGUAUGUUACAGAACGUUUAACAGGCUUUAACAAAGCCUAUAAAAUUUAUACAACUUUCAGCAACGGAUCUCUUGGCUCUCGCAUCGAUGAAGAACGCAGC
This 367-nucleotide unclassified non-coding RNA is filed under the name uncultured fungus. Its description in RNAcentral is "partial contains small subunit ribosomal RNA, internal transcribed spacer 1, and 5.8S ribosomal RNA". The stretch from base 1 to 73 matches the Rfam family "Eukaryotic small subunit ribosomal RNA", at positions 1759 to 1831 of the family's 1831-position model. The record is from RNAcentral. Lineage: Eukaryota; Fungi.